GAUGAACGCUAGCGGCAGGCCUAAUACAUGCAAGUCGGACGGGAUUCAGGAGCUUGCUUCUGAUGAGAGUGGCGCACGGGUGCGUAACACGUAUGUAACCUACCUUUAUCAGGGGGAUAGCCUCUCGAAAGAGAGAUUAAGCCCGCAUAAAAUCACAGCACAGCAUUGUGUAAUGAUCAAAUAUUUAUAGGAUAAAGAUGGGCAUGCGGAACAUUAGCUAGAUGGCGGGGUAACGGCCCACCAUGGCGACGAUGUUUAGGGGAUCUGAGAGGAUGGCCCCCCACACUGGUGCUGAGACACGGACCAGACUCCUACGGGUGGCAGCAGUAAGGAAUAUUGGUCAAUGGGCGGAAGCCUGAACCAGCCAUGCCGCGUGCAGGAAGACGGCCCUACGGGUUGUAAACUGCUUUUAUACGGGAAUAAACCCAGAUACGUGUAUCUGGCUGAAUGUACUGUAAGAAUAAGGAUCGGCUAACUCCGUG
RNAcentral lists this ribosomal RNA (482 nucleotides) under uncultured bacterium. Its description in RNAcentral is "partial 16S ribosomal RNA". It matches the Rfam family "Bacterial small subunit ribosomal RNA", at positions 28 to 507 of the family's 1533-position model. The record is from RNAcentral.